GCUUCUGUAGUGUAAGGUAACACACUCGAUGCGCAUUCGAGAUUUCUAGGUUCGAAUCUCGGUAAGGGCA
This 70-nucleotide transfer RNA is filed under the name Stegodyphus mimosarum. It matches the Rfam family "tRNA". Rfam says of the family: Transfer RNA (tRNA) molecules are approximately 80 nucleotides in length. Their secondary structure includes four short double-helical elements and three loops (D, anti-codon, and T loops). Further hydrogen bonds mediate the characteristic L-shaped molecular structure. tRNAs have two regions of fundamental functional importance: the anti-codon, which is responsible for specific mRNA codon recognition, and the 3' end, to which the tRNAs corresponding amino acid is attached (by aminoacyl-tRNA synthetases). tRNAs cope with the degeneracy of the genetic code in two manners: having more than one tRNA (with a specific anti-codon) for a particular amino acid; and 'wobble' base-pairing, i.e. permitting non-standard base-pairing at the 3rd anti-codon position. Lineage: Eukaryota; Metazoa; Arthropoda; Arachnida; Araneae; Eresidae. The record is from Rfam by way of RNAcentral.